RNAcentral lists this ribosomal RNA (259 nucleotides) under Salmonella enterica. Its description in RNAcentral is "partial 16S ribosomal RNA". It matches the Rfam family "Bacterial small subunit ribosomal RNA", at positions 1275 to 1533 of the family's 1533-position model. The record is from RNAcentral. RNAcentral also lists the same sequence under 1 other name. Lineage: Bacteria; Pseudomonadati; Pseudomonadota; Gammaproteobacteria; Enterobacterales; Enterobacteriaceae.
CAUAAAGUGCGUCGUAGUCCGGAUUGGAGUCUGCAACUCGACUCCAUGAAGUCGGAAUCGCUAGUAAUCGUGGAUCAGAAUGCCACGGUGAAUACGUUCCCGGGCCUUGUACACACCGCCCGUCACACCAUGGGAGUGGGUUGCAAAAGAAGUAGGUAGCUUAACCUUCGGGGGGGCGCUUACCACUUUGUGAUUCAUGACUGGGGUGAAGUCGUAACAAGGUAACCGUAGGGGAACCUGCGGUUGGAUCACCUCCUUA